Molecule: ribosomal RNA, 254 nt
Filed under: uncultured bacterium
Lineage: Bacteria
Description: partial 16S ribosomal RNA
Rfam family: Bacterial small subunit ribosomal RNA
Source: RNAcentral
CACGUAGGGGGCAAGCGUUGUCCGGAUUUAUUGGGCGUAAAGAGCUCGUAGGCGGUUCGGUAAGUCGGGUGUGAAACCUCCAGGCUCAACCUGGAGACGCCACCCGAUACUGCUGUGACUAGAGUCCGGUAGGGGAGCGUGGAAUUCCUGGUGUAGCGGUGAAAUGCGCAGAUAUCAGGAGGAACACCGGUGGCGAAGGCGGGUCUCUGGGCCGAAACUGACGCUGAGGAGCGAAAGCGUGGGGAGCGAACAGG